This 229-nucleotide small nucleolar RNA is filed under the name Haliotis rubra (blacklip abalone). RNAcentral's name for it is "small nucleolar RNA SNORA73 family". It matches the Rfam family "Small nucleolar RNA SNORA73 family". Rfam says of the family: U17 (SNORA73A and SNORA73B) also known as E1 belongs to the H/ACA class of small nucleolar RNAs (snoRNAs). Lineage: Eukaryota; Metazoa; Mollusca; Gastropoda; Lepetellida; Haliotidae. The record is from RNAcentral.
CCAACGUUGACAUCCAAUGUUCAGGCCCUGCCUGUUACAAUGAAUGUCUGUGUGGCAGAUGGGAGCUGAGAACCCCUUGGGGUGUGAGGUAUAUUCCCUUUCCACAACGUUGGAAACAAACCAGUCCCCCAUUGUUUGUUGGGUGUGGGCUGGCUCCUUCAUAUUCCAUAGAUUUCUCUGAGCCACUGUGUGGCAGUGACAGGGGAGGCAAACCAUGCAGGAGACAAUU